Molecule: long non-coding RNA, 204 nt
Filed under: Lathyrus oleraceus (garden pea)
Lineage: Eukaryota; Viridiplantae; Streptophyta; Magnoliopsida; Fabales; Fabaceae
Description: Pisum sativum (pea) long non-coding RNA (PSAT_LNC033130)
Source: RNAcentral
CAACAACCAAUAAUCAAGCUCAAAAGAAGGAGCAUCCUCACUCAUGGAGAUGUACUUGAACCUGAAAUCACAACUCAAAUGAUAAGUCCAAACCACUAGGUCAAAGCCUAGGGUCAAAAGAGGAUCAAAAAGUCAAAACAGAGACUGAAAUUUAACACAAAGCAACUUCAAACACAUAUUGACAUAUCCUAAAAAGGCUCACAU